Molecule: ribosomal RNA, 470 nt
Filed under: uncultured bacterium
Lineage: Bacteria
Description: partial 16S ribosomal RNA
Rfam family: Bacterial small subunit ribosomal RNA
Source: RNAcentral
GCCCCAGACUCCUACGGGAGGCAGCAGUGAGGAAUAUUGGUCAAUGGGCGGAAGCCUGAACCAGCCAAGUCGCGUGAGGGAAGAAGGCCCUGCGGGUCGCAGACCUCUUUGGACGGGGAGCAAGGCCGCCGACGUGUCGGCGGAAGGAGAGUACCCGUAGAACAAGCAUCGGCUAACUCCGUGCCAGCAGCCGCGGUAAUACGGAGGAUGCGAGCGUUAUCCGGAUUUAUUGGGUGUAAAGGGAGCGUAGGCGGUGCAGCAAGUCAGAAGUGAAAGCCCGGGGCUCAACUCCGGGACUGCUUUUGAAACUGUUGAACUAGAUUGCAGGAGAGGUAAGUGGAAUUCCUAGUGUAGCGGUGAAAUGCGUAGAUAUUAGGAGGAACACCAGUGGCGAAGGCGGCUUACUGGACUGUAAAUGACGCUGAGGCUCGAAAGCGUGGGGAGCAAACAGGAUUAGAUACCCCGGUAAA